GUGGGGAAUCUUCCGCAAUGGACGAAAGUCUGACGGAGCAACGCCGCGUGAGUGAUGAAGGUCUUCGGAUUGUAAAGCUCUGUUAAUCGGGACGAAAGAGCCUAGUGUGAAUAAUGCUAGGAAGUGACGGUACCGGAAUAGAAAGCCACGGCUAACUACGUGCCAGCAGCCGCGGUAAUACGUAGGUGGCAAGCGUUGUCCGGAAUUAUUGGGCGUAAAGCGCGCGCAGGCGGAUCUGCCAGUCUGUCUUAAAAGUUCGGGGCUUAACCCCGUGAUGGGAUGGAAACUACAGAUCUAGAGUAUCGGAGAGGAAAGUGGAAUUCCUAGUGUAGCGGUGAAAUGCGUAGAUAUUAGGAAGAACACCAGUGGCGAAGGCGACUUUCUGGACGAAAACUGACGCUGAGGCGCGAAAGCCAGGGGAGCAAACGGGAUUAGAAACCCGAGUAGUCC
This 450-nucleotide ribosomal RNA is filed under the name uncultured bacterium. RNAcentral describes it as "partial 16S ribosomal RNA". It matches the Rfam family "Bacterial small subunit ribosomal RNA", at positions 354 to 796 of the family's 1533-position model. The record is from RNAcentral.